CAGAUUUCUGUGGAAGUAAUUGGAUUUUCAAGCACAAAUAAUGAAAACCAACAAUUAUAUACAAGUCAUAAAAGGUCUCAGACAUCCAAGGAAGGAAUGAAGCAGCACAAGCUCUCAAGCCCGGCGAAAAGCGAAAGCUCUUAGGCGGCCACUGCGAAUGUUUUGAGAAACAAGCCUUUGGAUUAUCAUCAUAAACCCAUACACAAGAAAUAUAUUUUCCUUUGACUAAAUUUUAAGAAUAUCGUUUAUCAAUUGAACUGAUAAAAAAAAAUAUGGAACCAAAUUUCUGAAAAAGUAACUGAAUUUUCAAGCACAAAUAAUGAAAACAACAAUCAUAUAGAAGUCAUAAAAGAUCUCAGACAUCCAAGGAAGGAAUGAAGCAGCACAAGCUCUCAAGCCCGGCGAAAGGCGAAAGCUCUUAGACGGCCACUGCGAAUGUUUUGAGAAACAAGCCUUACAACUUAUCAUCAUCGACUUUUAUAUUUGACUUCGUAACGUAGCAAGGAAAACACUACAUGGCAACUGAUUUCACACAACGCCCCAAAUUUUAUGCAUUCAAUUAUCAUCUUGCAAAUAAACAUAUCUAAAAAUAAGGCAGCAAAAGCAACAAACAAACAGAGCCUAAACAGAGUUGCUCGAUCAUUGAAAUUUUGAAACAAUGAAGCAUAAAAUAAGUAGAUAGCUAGUAAAAAUCAGAUUUAAUUAACAUAAAAGAAAUAUAUAUUUUUACUAGGGGUUAAAAAAAGUCUCAGACAUCCAAGGAAGGAGCAAAACAGCAGAAGCUCUCAAGCCCGGCGAAAGGCGAAAGCUCUCAGGCGGCCACUGCGAAUGUUUCUGAGAAACAAGCCUUUUUGAUUUAUCAUCAUCAACACAAUUCAUUCCAAGCAAACUAAGUUAAAAACAUUUCCAAAUAAAAAAAAAUUAAAAGGAAUAAACCUAUACUGAGAGGUCGAUAGUUUUGGGGCUGAUGCUAGAAGAGAAUGAGUAGAAGGGUUU
RNAcentral lists this long non-coding RNA (996 nucleotides) under Gossypium barbadense (sea-island cotton). RNAcentral describes it as "long non-coding RNA (GBAR_LNC001740)". The record is from RNAcentral. Lineage: Eukaryota; Viridiplantae; Streptophyta; Magnoliopsida; Malvales; Malvaceae.